Odocoileus virginianus texanus is the source of this 350-nucleotide non-coding RNA. The record is from RefSeq and is a predicted model, not a curated record. Lineage: Eukaryota; Metazoa; Chordata; Mammalia; Artiodactyla; Cervidae.
GCAAAGGUGGACAUCUCUAGCAGCCAAGGUUGUGUUGGUUCAUAAGCUUCAAAAUAUUGUGACUGGCUCAAGAGAGGAAUAGACGUUCCUCAGAAACCUGACUCAGACCUGGAUGCAUUUGCUGAGAGAUUCGUGAUGGAUCCUUGACUGGGAGGGGAACAUCAGACGAGACCACGUUGAGGGACAUUCUGCACAAUGCUGGCACAUGUUCUUCAAAAAUGCACUAUCCAUGAAUGACAAAGAGGACUGGGAUAGAAAAAGGAUGUGGCACAUGGUGUGUAAAUGCAGUGUGUGAUUCUGAAUUGAAUUCUGGGCUGGCCUGGUAAGUGCUUCUUUUUCCAUAUAAGACA